Molecule: long non-coding RNA, 1896 nt
Filed under: Numida meleagris (helmeted guineafowl)
Lineage: Eukaryota; Metazoa; Chordata; Aves; Galliformes; Numididae
Description: lncRNA (ENSNMEG00000003503.1)
Source: RNAcentral
CUGCCCGCGGCUCCAACGCGCCGGGCCCCGGGCAGCCCGGGCAUCUCUGCCGGGCCCUGGGGAGAGGAUUCCACCCCAACAUCCAUUUUGUCCCUUUUGGAAAUGGAGAUGGGAGAGAGAGAGGAGGGAAAAUGCGCUGCUUUUUUUUUUUUUUUUUUUUUUCCUCUUUCUCCAUAUUUUACUACGUAAGGCAUGACGUCCUCACGUCGGGAGCGGGAUAGGUUAGCCCUGCGCUGGUGGGAAUGCACGGGGCUGGGGGGCGCGGGGGGCGGCUCUGAGAGCGGAACCUAAAAAUAACGGGGAUUUUAUUUAAAAAAAAAUCGUACCGAUGCCGCUGAUCCCACCGAUGCGGCCCCGUAAAGGCAGAGGGAGGCCGAGUCCCGCCCCCCCCCACACCCACCCCGAUCCGCGCCCCGCGGGACCGGGAGAGCUCGGGGAGCCCCGCGGGGCCCAGAUCGGAGCGGGGGAUGUGGGGGGCUCCUGCCUUUGCCCCCACCCCGGGGCUGCUGCAGUAGGUGGAGAGGGGUGAGGGAGGGUCAGCUCUGUGCCCCCACUGUGCUUGCACCCCGUUCUGCAGCAGUGAUUCGGCUGUCCGUGGAAAUGGAGCCGAAAUUGGCUAAUCUUCAAUUAAAAAAUACAAUUAAAUAAGAUUCAAGCAAACCCUAUGCUGGGUGUUAACAGCCCCGUGCUUCGAAGUGGCCGGGGUUUUCGGAGCGCUUUAAAAAUCGCUGCCUGCAACCGCGACUCCUCUCAGCUCCCAGCCGGGCCGUGCUCCGAAAGAUGGCCCGGGGGGGCCGGGGGGGGAGCACAAAACCCGCACGGCACCGAGCGGGGAGAGGGGCCGGGCCCGUCGGCAUGUGCAGCCCCAACGCUGUUGCGGAGCCGGGCCCGCUCCGUGCUGUCCCCAUACGCGCCGAGCUUCUCUAUUUCCCCCUCAACGAAUAUUUCUCCUGGAGGGGCUGGGGCCCGCCGGGAUGCUCUGUCUCGGUUCCCCACCGCCCGCCUCGUCCAACCGGGACCGUGCAGGGCCAAGCCGGCCCGUCCCGGUGUGGGCCACCACGAGGCAGUGCCGGGCCUGCCCGUCGGGGACCCCAAGCCGUGUCCCCGUCUCCAGCCCCGACGUCACAGUGCAGCCGACGGCAGCUGUGCCCAAAGCUCCCGGUGCAGCCGCCCUCGGGCCGGGCCCGGCUCCUCCAGCGGCACGCAAACGGACCCCGUGGCUGCAAGGUCCGCAACCGCUCCGUUUGGGGCACACAGAGCUCUGCCCCCCUGCAGCUGCUGCCUGGGCAGGGACGUGACAGCGCAGGGCAGGGGACAAAGCCCCACCAUCUCUGCAGUCUCCCAGCACCGGAGCGCAGCACCCUCCUGGAGCAGCACAUCCCUCGGCCACGCCGGGCCUGCAGGUAAUGGGGUUUUAGUGGGGCGGCUCCCCAGCUUGCUGGGCAGGAACACAGAGCCACAAAGGCGGCCCAGAUCCUUGAGAACCAAGGCCACGCAGGAUGGGUGGGUGGGGAAUGCAGGGCGAUGCUUCGUCUCUUCCCAGUGCCAUCCCGAGCAUUGUCCCCCUCUGAAAACCCGCAGGUUCCUCGGUGUGAUCUUAGGGGCCAGCACAAAGUGGCAUCCCUCAGCUCUGGGAGGGUUGCAGCAAAGGGAGGUGGGCAGGGGCACGGGGCCGGAGCGGGGACAGAGGGUGAGAAAGGCCUCCCCACAAAACCAAGGAAGGCUGAGGGCACCCCGGGGCACCCCCCACCCCAUUUAGGACCUGUCACAAUAGGAUGUUACUGGACCUGCAGGCAGCCAGGGGUGCGCAGCUCCGCUCGCUCCCGGUGUCCCACCGCUGCCCUCCGGUCCCGUGGCCGCUCCCGUGUCCCCAUGGUGCGAUGUGGCUCGUCCCCC